Molecule: unclassified non-coding RNA, 400 nt
Filed under: soil metagenome
Description: partial contains 5.8S ribosomal RNA, internal transcribed spacer 2, and large subunit ribosomal RNA
Rfam family: 5.8S ribosomal RNA (bases 1-121)
Source: RNAcentral
GAUGAAGAACGUAGUGAAAUGCGAUAAGUAAUGUGAAUUGCAGAAUUCAGUGAAUCAUCGAAUCUUUGAACGCACCUUGCGCCCUUUGGCUAUUCCGAAGGGCAUGCCUGUUUGAGUAUCGUGAACACCUCAACUCUCAUGGUCCGCCAUGAUGAGCUUGGACUUUGGGGGUCUUGCCGGCCUAGCGUCGGCUCCUCUCAAAUGGAUCAGCUUGCCAGUGUUUGGUGGCAUCACAGGUGUGAUAACUAUCUACGCUUGUGGUUUUCUACCAUGUAACCUUCAGCGAUGGAGGUUCGCUGGGGCUCACAGACGUCUCUCCUUGGAGGACAGCCUUUUGAACGUUUGAUCUCAAAUCAGGUAGGACUACCCGCUGAACUUAAGCAUAUCAAUAAGCGGAGGA